GAUUGAUAAAAGUAAAACUUAAAGGGUUAACUAGUAAACAUAUUAACAUAAAUUACAGUUAUAUACACAUAUAACACACGAGUUAAGUUAUAAAAGAGAGGCGAAGGACACCAAAAAGACAAACUCAAAAAGUCGAAAAUAAACUGACAACCGUUACCCUAUGACUAAAAAAGAAAAAAAAAGACUCACAGCCAAACAAAAUACAUAGAAAACCCAAGACUGAGCAACAC
This 230-nucleotide long non-coding RNA is filed under the name Mytilus galloprovincialis (Mediterranean mussel). The record is from RNAcentral. Lineage: Eukaryota; Metazoa; Mollusca; Bivalvia; Mytilida; Mytilidae.